RNAcentral lists this long non-coding RNA (269 nucleotides) under Vigna radiata. Its description in RNAcentral is "long non-coding RNA (VRAD_LNC012075)". The record is from RNAcentral. Lineage: Eukaryota; Viridiplantae; Streptophyta; Magnoliopsida; Fabales; Fabaceae.
GAAGAGCACGGAAGGGCGGUAGGUCUCCAGCGGCGACAAUGGUGACCGUUCGGAAGGAGAUGGUCACAAGUGGUGGUGGUUGGUUCUCGAACGUGGUUCGCUUCUCCCUCUCUCUCAAAAGUGUCGAAUGCCAAAAUUUGAGAAACACAUUUCAAAUUCAAAAUCUGCUUGUUUCUCUCACCAUGCCACAUCAGCGUUCGAUUUUAAAUUCAAUUUCCACAUGGACGAAUCACAUUUGGACAAGUGUCUCUGAUGGGCUAUCGCGGCCC